This 493-nucleotide ribosomal RNA is filed under the name uncultured bacterium. Its description in RNAcentral is "partial 16S ribosomal RNA". It matches the Rfam family "Bacterial small subunit ribosomal RNA", at positions 30 to 523 of the family's 1533-position model. The record is from RNAcentral.
AUUGAACGCUGGCGGCAUGCCUUACACAUGCAAGUCGAACGGUAACAGGUUAAGCUGACGAGUGGCGAACGGGUGAGUAAUAUAUCGGAACGUGCCCAGUCGUGGGGGAUAACGUAGCGAAAGCUACGCUAAUACCGCGUACGAUCUACGGAUGAAAGCGGGGGAUCGCAAGACCUCGCGCGAUUGGAGCGGCCGAUAUCAGAUUAGGUUGUUGGUGAGGUAAAAGCUCACCAAGCCUGCGAUCUGUAGCUGGUCUGAGAGGACGACCAGCCACACUGUAACUGAGACACGGUCCAGACUCCUACGGGAGGCAGCAGUGGGGAAUUUUGGACAAUGGACGCAAGUCUGAUCCAGCAAUGCCGCGUGCAGGACGAAGGCCUUCGGGUUGUAAACUGCUUUUGUACGGAACGAAACGGUGAGCUCUAAUACAGUUUGCUAAUGACGGUACCGUAAGAAUAAGCACCGGCUAACUACGUGCCAGCCGCCGCGGUAA